GACGAACGCUGGCGGCGUGCUUAACACAUGCAAGUCGAACGAUGAAGCCGGAGCUUGCUCUGGUGAAUUAGUGGCGAACGGGUGAGUAACACGUGAGUAACCUGCCCUUGACUCUGGGAUAACUGCGGGAAACUGUAGCUAAUACCGGAUACGACCCUCGGAGGCAUCUCCUGGGGGUGGAAAGAAUUUCGGUCAAGGAUGGACUCGCGGCCUAUCAGCUAGUUGGUGAGGUAAAGGCUCACCAAGGCGACGACGGGUAGCCGGCCUGAGAGGGUGACCGGCGACACUGGGACUGAGACACGGCCCAGACUCGUACGGGAGGCAGCAGUGGGGAAUAUUGCACAAUGGCGCAAGCCUGAUGCAGCAACGCCGCGUGAGGGAUGACGGCCUUCGGGUUGUAAACCUCUUUUAGCAGGGAAGAAGCGAAAGUGACGGUACCUGCAGAAAAAGCACCGGCUAACUACGUGCCAGCCGCCGCCGUAA
This 483-nucleotide ribosomal RNA is filed under the name uncultured bacterium. RNAcentral describes it as "partial 16S ribosomal RNA". It matches the Rfam family "Bacterial small subunit ribosomal RNA", at positions 28 to 523 of the family's 1533-position model. The record is from RNAcentral.